RNAcentral lists this ribosomal RNA (958 nucleotides) under Listeria monocytogenes. Its description in RNAcentral is "partial 23S ribosomal RNA". It matches the Rfam family "Bacterial large subunit ribosomal RNA", at positions 1 to 951 of the family's 2925-position model. Lineage: Bacteria; Bacillati; Bacillota; Bacilli; Caryophanales; Listeriaceae. The record is from RNAcentral.
UUGGUUAAGUUAGAAAGGGCGCACGGUGGAUGCCUUGGCACUAGGAGCCGAAGAAGGACGGGACUAACACCGAUAUGCUUUGGGGAGCUGUACGUAAGCGUUGAUCCAGAGAUUUCCGAAUGGGGGAACCCACUAUCUUUAGUCGGAUAGUAUCCUUACGUGAAUACAUAGCGUAAGGAAGGCAGACCCAGGGAACUGAAACAUCUAAGUACCUGGAGGAAGAGAAAGAAAAAUCGAUUUCCUGAGUAGCGGCGAGCGAAACGGAAAGAGCCCAAACCAAGAAGCUUGCUUCUUGGGGUUGUAGGACACUCUAUACGGAGUUACAAAAGAAAGUUAUAAAUGAAGCGGUCUGGAAAGGCCCGCCAAAGACGGUAACAGCCCGGUAGUUGAAAUGGCUUUCCCUCCAGAGUGGAUCCUGAGUACGGCGGAACACGUGAAAUUCCGUCGGAAUCCGGGAGGACCAUCUCCCAAGGCUAAAUACUCCCUAGUGACCGAUAGUGAACCAGUACCGUGAGGGAAAGGUGAAAAGCACCCCGGAAGGGGAGUGAAACAGUUCCUGAAACCGUGUGCCUACAAGUAGUUAGAGCCCGUUAAUGGGUGAUAGCGUGCCUUUUGUAGAAUGAACCGGCGAGUUACGAUUUGUUGCAAGGUUAAGCGGAAAAAGCGGAGCCGUAGCGAAAGCGAGUCUGAAUAGGGCGCAUAAGUAACAGGUCGUAGACCCGAAACCAGGUGAUCUACCCAUGUCCAGGAUGAAGGUAAGGUAAUACUUACUGGAGGUCCGAACCCACGCACGUUGAAAAGUGCGGGGAUGAGGUGUGGGUAGCGGAGAAAUUCCAAUCGAACUUGGAGAUAGCUGGUUCUCUCCGAAAUAGCUUUAGGGCUAGCCUCGAGGUAAAGAGUCAUGGAGGUAGAGCACUGUUUGGACUAGGGGCCCUUCUCGGGUUACCGAAUUCAGAUA